This 155-nucleotide ribosomal RNA is filed under the name uncultured Bacteroidota bacterium. RNAcentral's name for it is "uncultured Bacteroidetes bacterium partial 16S ribosomal RNA". It matches the Rfam family "Bacterial small subunit ribosomal RNA", at positions 355 to 507 of the family's 1533-position model. Lineage: Bacteria; Pseudomonadati; Bacteroidota. The record is from RNAcentral.
UGAGGAAUAUUGGUCAAUGGGCGAGAGCCUGAACCAGCCAAGUCGCGUGAGGGAAGACGGCCCUACGGGUUGUAAACCUCUUUUGUCAGGGAGCAAGAGCAGAUACGUGUAUCUGAGCGAGAGUACCUGAAGAAAAAGCAUCGGCUAACUCCGUG